UUUAACAUGUUUUCUUUGUGUGUGUGUGUGUCGCAUCUAGAUCUAGAAUCAAAUGAGCAUAAGCUAACCUUCCUGGUGUGAUACACUAGUUACCGGUACACCCAAAAACAAAGGCUAGAAAAGGAUCUAUCUAGUUCUAGUUUUGUUUGGUGAUUCCAACAUACCGUAAGAAAAAAUUGUAACACACGGCAAGCGGAUGUUUCAGAUACGCAUGCGCCAAGGGUUAUCGAUUGCAUUCCUAACAUAAUACAAAUUGAAGGGAUUUGAAUUCAAGGCUAUACAUGAUGCUGCUACAAUGAUGCCACUGCAAGUCCUAACAAUACCUAGUCUAACAUUCUAAUCCAUACUUUGGAGGAGUGAAAUGAAUAUCAAGAGGGACUCUUUCUGGAAAACAAAUUAAUAACAUCAAGAAUACACGUGUAAAAGAUUUGCUUUAGUUUAUUUCAUUCACAGAUAAUGAUUAUUCAAGUGGGCUAUUUUGAACUCACAGAAAUGUCAUUUUCUUGAAAGGGACUUCUAAAAAUCAGCUUAAACCCUAAAUAUAGACCUAACCUUCAAAUGGGAACAGACAAAACUCUAGACAGUCAGACUUUAGAGAAGUUUUUGAGAUCAAUUAUAAUUUACAAUGUGAACAAAUCACUAAUUCAUAUUUUUUUUUUACACUUUGUUUCAAAAUGCUUUGUCUGUUAAUACUGGAGUGAGUUUUUGUAACCCUAACUUUAAUGUUAAACAAAUGUUAUUUGGUUAGGUUAUCAAAUUAAAAAGUUAAUGUUACUAAAGAGUACCAUCUGAUGUGUACUAUAACUCAAAGGGUCGUAGCUUCAUUAAAAUUAAAUGUAUUUAUUCUUUUGAUAGAGUUACCCUAGUAAUUAAACAAUGUAUGGCUGGUAUCUGUGAAUAAAAACCUGUCCUAUUUUAUGAAAUACUUUACAAAUUUUGGUUGGGUUGUACAAAUAAAACAAAAUAGUCAUAAAUUAUAAACUCACUAUCACAUCUCUUUAAUUCAGUCGGCUUUAAGUUGAGUGUAAUAAUGCCGAAGAUUUCUUUGAACUCAAGAUGAUCACAUAAAAAAACAAAUUAUAUGCAUUACUUAGAGACUUUAGGUUAACUGAUGAAUUGAUCUCAUAUUUCAGAGGAUCAUUCCUCUACUCUCAUCCCUCGAAUCAUAACAAAAUUAAUUAAAAUCUUUUCUUACAGGCAUAUAGAAAAACGCUGUUUUACACAAUCGCAACUCAUUAUCAAAUAGCGGCACAAGAGUGACUGUCAUUGCUGUCAAAAUUAUGCAUUAUUUUUUUUAAAGAGUGUAAUAAUUUGUCAUUGUAAAGAUCACUAGUGUAUAGCUAAGCUAUGAUGUCCAAAAGCAAUAAAAAUUUCUAAGUAGAAACUAACAAUGUUGUUUUUUUUAAAAAGGCCUAUAUAAGGAAAUAACUGCUAAUUUGAAAACAUUACUUUAUUUAUUUCCUUUUUUUUUAAAUAAUUAAUUAUUUGUUUAAUUUUGUUGAUUGAUUUGUGUUUGGUUAGGAACACUGAAUAAUUGCCACACCAAGUUUCCACUUGAGCCAGAAAAAAUGUGU
Molecule: long non-coding RNA, 1574 nt
Organism: Biomphalaria glabrata
Lineage: Eukaryota; Metazoa; Mollusca; Gastropoda; Planorbidae
Exons: 3
Source: RefSeq, a predicted model, not a curated record